AGCGAACGCUGGCGGCAGGCCUAACACAUGCAAGUCGAACGAACCUUUCGGGGUUAGUGGCGGACGGGUGAGUAACACGUGGGAACGUGCCUUUAGGUUCGGAAUAACUCAGGGAAACUUGUGCUAAUACCGAAUGUGCCCUUCGGGGGAAAGAUUUAUCGCCUUUAGAGCGGCCCGCGUCUGAUUAGCUAGUUGGUUGAGGUAAUGGCUCACCAAGGCGACGAUCAGUAGCUGGUUUGAGAGGAUGAUCAGCCACAUUGGGACUGAGACACGGCCCAAACUCCUACGGGAGGCAGCAGUGGGGAAUCUUGCGCAAUGGGCGAAAGCCUGACGCAGCCAUGCCGCGUGAAUGAUGAAGGUCUUAGGAUUGUAAAAUUCUUUCACCGGGGACGAUAAUGACGGUACCCGGAGAAGAAGCCCCGGCUAACUUCGUG
RNAcentral lists this ribosomal RNA (434 nucleotides) under uncultured bacterium. RNAcentral describes it as "partial 16S ribosomal RNA". It matches the Rfam family "Bacterial small subunit ribosomal RNA", at positions 29 to 507 of the family's 1533-position model. The record is from RNAcentral.